This 1174-nucleotide long non-coding RNA is filed under the name Olea europaea (common olive). RNAcentral describes it as "long non-coding RNA (OEUR_LNC007915)". Lineage: Eukaryota; Viridiplantae; Streptophyta; Magnoliopsida; Lamiales; Oleaceae. The record is from RNAcentral.
CUCAACUGCAUAUCAAUCUUCGGAAAAAAGUGACUUGGGUUACAAAAAAAAGGAAACAAGUUUAUGCAGCACUCGUUCCAUUUUAAUUGAUAAAAUUUUCUCACAAAUUCUACAAAACUCCAAAGGCAGCUCUAACUCUGCUUUGAUGUUAAGGGAGUUGUCUGAUCUAAGAAAAAAUAAAAGACGAAUCAAUAAAGGAAAGCUUACUUUGCAACAAUAAAGUUGUUCAUUGAAACAUGUAAAGAGGGAAUGGAAGUGACACAACCUUCCGAUGAAGUGAAAAAAGAUGUAUACAUACUGAUACUGUACAGAUGCCCCAUUUGAUCGACUCUUGGAGUUUCCAUUUUUGGAGGCUAUUACAUCUCCUAGGUCUGAUGAGAAGAAAACGUUAUGCCUUUGGACAACAAUUUGUCAAAAAGAGGGAUCAUUCUAAGUAUUACAACAUAUCUGAGCAAUGAAUACAAUGCUGGUUAAGAAGCCUGAAAACAAGGCUGUCGGGCUCUGGAAUCAGAGCCGAGGUUAAGCUGUUCCAGAAAUGAAAGGUCACUGACUUGUCUAGAAUUAUGUUGAACAUAACAUCUUGUUCAAGUCUUUCAGUUUCUGUCUGUGGUGCAUAGAAGUAUCUGUCAAUUCAUUUGAUCGACUCUUGGAGUUUCCAUUUUGGGAGGCUAUUACAUCUCCUAGGUCUGAUGAGAAGAAAACGUUAUGCCUUUGGACAACAAUUUGUCAAAAAGAGGGAUCAUUCUAAGUAUUACAACAUAUCUGAGCAAUGAAUACAAUGCUGGUUAAGAAGCCUGAAAACAAGGCUGUCGGGCUCUGGAAUCAGAGCCGAGGUUAAGCUGUUCCAGAAAUGAAAGGUCACUGACUUGUCUAGAAUUAUGUUGAACAUAACAUCUUGUUCAAGUCUUUCAGUUUCUGUCUGUGGUGCAUAGAAGUAUCUGUCAAUAAAGGAUAUGAUAUUAGCUCUCUUUCGGAGAUAACAAGAGGAAAGAACUCAAACCAAGAUUGCACAUGCAAGAAUAUGGGAUAGAACCUCAAUUAGCAAACUAUUAACCUAAAGAAUUUGAUGAAUGUAUAAGAAAAUGUUCUAGUUCAGCUCUAAUGCCAUUCUUCAAUGUUCUGAAGAUAUGAAAAUAUUCCAAUUCUAUUGCAUCCAACUGUAACACAAUAGUAC